UUUUCUUUGUUAUUCAUUUGAAUUAGUUUCCAAUUUAGAUGCAGUUUUGCCCUCUGUCUCCUCCCAAUAACAAUCCAGUAGGAUCAAGUUUACAUGAACCUUGAUCACACUGAGGAACUGAAAGGGAGAUUUCCACAAACAGGCAUGGCAUCCAUCUACCAGUUCCCUUCUUAUUUUUGCUUUUGUGAGAGUUUUUUGUUACAUUUCGAGGUUUUUUUUCCACACUGUAUUUUAGGUUUGCUACUUCAGCGAAUACCAACAGCAAAUUUCCUUCACAGGAAAUUUCCUUCCUACAUUUAAGGACUACUUCUUGUGGAUCUGUGAAGUACUGAGCAAAGUGUCUGGGAAAUCAAGGUGGAGCUCUCAGAGGCUCUGGGAUGGAAAACUAUGGGAAAUUGGAGGUCACCAUGGAAACGUUCGCUGGAGCAGGAAAUGAAACUGCUGUGUUGAUCAAGUAGGAGACGCAGCAUUUGAAGUAAACACAGCAGCAGCCAGUCAGUAACAGGAGGUAUCUCAGGUACCUAUGAGCAUAAGCUCCCCCCGCUUCACUGCACUGCACCAGCUCUCUGGGAACUCAUUUUUGAGAAUAAGCAUGAAUUGGCAAUAAACUCACUUUUUUAAUCAGUCACUGCAGCUGCGAGCCUGGAUUGCAACAUACGCUGUGAUAAUUCCUGUUUCAGAUGUGUUCUAAAAAUUUACAUCAACUAUUCGAGACUCUGCCGAAAUGAUCAAAUUGUUUGGAUUCAUUCACUGCUCUGGGGAAAACAUCCCUCCAAAUCUAAAUAGCAUUCAGAUGGAAGCUUCCAUCUGCUAAAAAGCAGGUCAGCUCAGCCACACUCAAAGAUUUUGUUCCAUACCCAACCCCCCCACCCAUCCCCAAAUCCCAUAAGACUCUUUCCUGAAAUUUCUCCCCCAAAAAUGCUUGUGCAGAGUUAUGAAGAUGUUUUGACUUUUAAGAACUGAUCAGGUGAUUCAGAACACCUCUCCCAAGAGGAGAAGCUGAAGAGUUGGGUUUGUUCAGCCUGCAGAAGGUUCCUCUGCAAGAGAGCUGAAGAGGGACUUCUGACAGGAGA
Molecule: long non-coding RNA, 1073 nt
Organism: Pipra filicauda (Wire-tailed manakin)
Lineage: Eukaryota; Metazoa; Chordata; Aves; Passeriformes; Pipridae
Exons: 3
Source: RefSeq, a predicted model, not a curated record